Molecule: transfer RNA, 71 nt
Filed under: Agrilus planipennis (emerald ash borer)
Lineage: Eukaryota; Metazoa; Arthropoda; Insecta; Coleoptera; Buprestidae
Rfam family: tRNA
About the family: Transfer RNA (tRNA) molecules are approximately 80 nucleotides in length. Their secondary structure includes four short double-helical elements and three loops (D, anti-codon, and T loops).
Source: Rfam by way of RNAcentral
GCUUGUAGCUUAGUGGCCAGAGCAUUAGUGCGUAAAGCCAAAGGUCCCAGGAUCGAUUCCUGGCGGAGGUA